GUAACUGCGGAAGGAUCAUU
RNAcentral lists this ribosomal RNA (20 nucleotides) under Cirsium subniveum. RNAcentral's name for it is "partial 18S ribosomal RNA". The record is from RNAcentral. Lineage: Eukaryota; Viridiplantae; Streptophyta; Magnoliopsida; Asterales; Asteraceae.